RNA transcript from Panicum virgatum (switchgrass), 1071 nucleotides. It is a transcript of the gene named photosynthetic NDH subunit of lumenal location 4, chloroplastic-like, with no coding region annotated. The transcript is spliced from 6 exons. Lineage: Eukaryota; Viridiplantae; Streptophyta; Magnoliopsida; Poales; Poaceae. The record is from RefSeq and is a predicted model, not a curated record.
UGCGCGCCUUGCAGCCACAGUUCGGGGAUAAACCCAAGCGGAAGCGGCCAGCCAGCUCAGAGCAGCAAGCCAUGGCGCCUCCCGUCUCCUCCCUGUCCCGCAUGGCGUCCAGCCCAAUCCCGUCGACGCAGCUCCCCAAGCCCAGCAGAAGGACGCUCGCCGUCGCGCCCUGCAGCUCCGCCUCCUCCUCGCCUUCUACCACCUCGUCCCCUCCGUGCCACGCCGCCGCGCCUCAGGCGGCGUCGGCGGGUCGGAGGGGGAUGCUGGCGCUGGGCGGGUUCCUGGCCUCGGCCGCGCUUCUGGGUCCGGCCGGGGACGCCGGGGCGACGCGCAUCGAGUACUACGCGACGGUCGGGGACAAGCUCUGCGACAUGAACCUCGUCAAGUCGGGGCUCGCGUACUGCGACGUCGAGGUUGGGACCGGCGCCCAGCCCCCGCGCGGCGAGCUCAUCAAUGUUCACUACACUGCGAGAUUUCCUGAUGGUACAGUGUUCGACAGCACCUACAAGCGCGGCAGGCCACUGACAAUGCGUAUCGGCGCAGGGAAGAUCCUCCGUGGGCUUGAACAGGGAAUCAGUGGAGGUGGAGGUGUGCCGCCCAUGCUUGUUGGUGGAAAACGCAAGCUUAUGAUACCUGCAACUCUGGCGUACGGGCCUGAACCAGCAGGCUGCUUCUCAGGAGAUUGCAACAUUCCUGGAAACUCCACACUUCUAUAUGACCUUUUCCUCGUCGGGAUUUACAAGUGAGCAUCCGAUGAGAUGGCAAUGAACAUUCAGGAAUUAGAACAGACAAGGUCCGAUAUCUAUCCUACAAAGGAGAAGUCUAUCGAUCAUGCAGAUAAAAGAUAACGGUUCCUGGAACACAUGAUCCCAAUACCGCAGAUGAAGAGAACGCUUCUGGCAAUACUCGCGAAAGCUUGUGAAUAACAUUUCUAUUUUCUUACCUAGCCGAUCGGCAAUGUUCCUGACCUAUUUCCGAAGAAAAUAGUGCCCACCUGGAUUGCAUCAGCAUCAUCAUGGAGCUAGCUUUGUAAAGAUCAUUCAAUCAUAUACUUGUCAUAGCAGUUUAGUA